GCCUCUCUUGUGCUCUUACCCCACCUUCAUUCUUCCUUGUAUGCUUUCUGUCUAAGACUUGUAAGCUCAAGGUGUUGAGGGAGGAGAAGGCUGGCUGAACUUUCAUUUCCUGCAAGGGUUUCCUGUAUGAUGUAACAAUGAGAGUGGGAGCAGCAAACAGCUCCUCAAGCAUUAACUGUGUCAGGAUGUUUGAGAUUGUGUGAAGCAAACGGUACUCAGAGGCUCGAAGAAAAGUUUUUCUCCAGUGAGAGCAGGGACCUUGCCUGGAACAGGAGCUGCCAUUGUAAUGAAGUAUUAGAUUUGCCUUUGUACUAAUUCUUUGCCUGGAUUCUCUCAACAACUCCUUCGCUUGAAAGCCUGCUUGUAUUUGGAAGGAUCAGCAAGCUAAGAGAAGCAGGUGAGUAAACAAUACUUUGGAUCUUAAUUGAUGCCUUUAAUGUUUCUUCUCUCCCCAUCAUGCCCCUAGACAGACAUGAAGAUGCUGGAUUCAGGAAGGAAGCUGGUAGCUUAGAGGCUGUGACCUGAAUAGUCAGCAGAGCGACACAGAGCUCAAGUAAUCUGCAGUGAAGAAGAGUUACAAGCAGACACCAGGGUAAUUUAAUCCAUGAUUCAAUUCUAUUAGUCCCAAUAGAUUUACACCACUUGGCUUAAAUAUAACUUAUGAAUGGCAGAUAACUUAGGUUAAAUGAAAAGGGAAGAAAAGAAUGGAACAUUUCACAGUGAAUCUGGUGAACAAUUUCCUCUUUCAAAGGCUCAACACUUCCUUCCAUUGAUAUUUUUCUUACAAUAGAGCAUCUGCACAGAUACAGAGAAAUUUUUCUCUCCCCCAGAAGAUUUUACAACUGUUUUGUGAGUGAAGCCCCAUAGGUUACAGAACAGAUGUCCUUACACAUUUCUUGUAUCACUUGUUUUCUGUGUAGCUACAACAGUGCCAAAAAUACGAUGCCAACAGGAUGCACUGCGCUGCUAGCUGUUUGUCUUGGCUGCCAUUUCCAUUAUUAGUAUGUGUGUGUAUCAGGAUGGGGAUGGAUGUUUCCAGUCAUUUUUUAGCUUUCCUCAAGUCAAUUGGCAAUUAGUAAAUAGCACUGAAACUUGUAAAUAUUCUUCCUGUUUCUCGCUCUGGGGAUUAAGUGUCUUAUAAUGACAAUCUAGUAACAUUAGAUCAUUCUCUAGCAAGAGCAGCAUACAGGCACUCUACUAGCCCACAAGCAUUUAAGAUCACAUCCUCACGAUAAAAUUUUCACGUUUGUUUUAACACAGUGGUUUGUGCUUUUCCUCUUAAAUCGAUAUUACAUUUCAGCUUAUUCCAUGAAACUGAAAUUUGUGAAAGUUUGUUGUUCUCUGUGGCUCUUCCAGUUGACUUUACCAAGGAGGUCUGAGACAAUCCUAAUAAACACACUGCUUCAUACUGUUAGUUCACUGGCAAUAUGCCUCCUAACAUCAAUUUUUUAAGUGCAUGAAAAAACAUAUUCAGCUUGGCCUUAAUCAGUGUUUUCUGAAGACAUAAAAUUACAGGCAGAAACUGCAAGACUGACUUGUCAGGGUCUAGAGAAGUUCAUGAAGGACAAGAUUUUAUUGUGUUUAGUAGCUAGGUCUUAGUUCAGGACUGAGUUUGCUGAGUCAAAUGAUUCAUUGUGGUCAUGUUUCUUGUAGUCACAUGCCAUAUGCAUCAGCAAGUCUCUGUUGCUCAAGUUUAGGCUUGAGAACAUGUUUGCAUACCGGGUUACCAUCAUAGACUCUAGUCCUGGAUUUUAGUUUCUAGCCAAAGGCCUAGACAACAAUAGACCAUGAGCAAAACUGGUAGUAUUUACAAACAAAUCAAUGUUUAUUUGUUUUCUAAAUCAAAAGUGUCUCCCUAAUCAGUGACUUUCUUUCCUUCUCCCUGACUACUGAGGCCUCAAAAGGCAAUGUCAGCUGUGCAAUAACAUUGCAGCAAAGCUGUCUGCAUCAGUAAUGAGCUGCACUUCAUGAAUUUUUAAUAUAUGGAUUUUAAUUUCACAUUUAAAGGCUAUUGAAAAAAAACCCAACAAUAUUACAGCUAUAGAGGUGAGUUUGAAGGCUCAGUGCCCCAAAACUGAGCAAUUAGUUAAAUUUGUAUGUAUUCAAAUUAUUGUUCUUGGUGAUUGCUUUUCAUUUCUCUAGAUGAAGAAAUUUUUUACUAAGCUUCCACCUGGCUUCAACUUGCCCACACUCAAUACUUCAUGCAUAGAGAAAUGCACAAAGAGAAGAUUUUUUCUUUGUGUAGAAUUACACACAAGCACACAAAGUAGCUAAAAUUUGACUCCUUAACAUACCUAUUUAAUUCUCUUGAAUUUGUCAGGUUGGCUACAUUCAAGCUAAACAAAAACUAAGUAUCGCAAACAAAUCCCUUUUCCCCACAGCUUCUGUUGUAAACGAAUUUACUAUAUUGCAAGCAAUAACUUCUGCUAGGAGUUUUCAUUGCUUUCCCUUCAAUGUGCUGUUCUCUCCAGCUGAUUAGAUUUCAUGUGAACCAAUGUUAAAAUCUGUUUGAAUAUUAAGUUCAGAAAGGCUUUUCACAGCACACAGUGUAAACCUUAAUUAAAAGACUUUAAGCUCUUUCCUCAUAUGGUUUAUGAUAUGCAUGAAAAACACAGGGUUAUAAUCUGAUUAACUCGUGUAGUUUACAUGGAAAUAGCAUUUUCCAAAACUGAUUAAUCUCUGCACAAAGGCAUAGUCACCUGAUAGGCGCUACACUUAAGGCUACUGAUUGCACCUGUCAAGAGAAGGAGCUUGGAGGAUAGGAGGAGUCCACUAUUUUCAAACAAAGAAUGAUGAUUCACAGAUGUAGCUUAGAACAAGUCCCACGUUGUAGUUAAUGCUGCCCCCAGGCAACUCAUGCAGCCAGAAUUUAAAUGACACACAAUCCAUGUACAGCCUGACCUUGCCAGCUUUCUGGGGGUAAUCCUAAAGUAAGGAUUAACUGUUCUUGAACAAUUUUUCCAACAUAUUAAACAGAGCUUCUACAACAGCAUGCAUGUCACCUUCUUCCACCUAGUUUUAUUGGACACGUGUACUCAUUCCUCCAUGCCUCUUAAUAUGCUGAGAAGUGCAUGGAGUGAAAGACACUAUUCAACAUGGAACUUUAUUUCCAUAGGUUUUGAUCUUCAACCUAAAUUCAUCUACUUUAUCUAUUGAAGAGACUGCUUAACAGUAGAGAGAGUCAACUGGGCAUGGCUUAUUUUCCAUGUGAACCACCACACUCAAAAUCUGACUGCCAUUCUUGCGACCAUGCACUAAUUCCAGGAGUAAGGCAUGGUGAAGCCUUCUCUUAAAGCCCAAGAAAGAGCUGCAUAAUCAUCUGAAGUGAGACAGUUCUAUUGUUCUAAUGGUGAUAGAAAGCUUUCCAAUCACAAAGAGAGAAAAGCUGAAGAGUACCUAUUUAAAAAUUAGUAAAAGUUAUGCUUUUGUAUGAAGAGGAUUUAAUAAAUGACACCUAAAGUCAAACACAUCUAAGUUAACAGAAUAAGAGAUUACUCCAGCAUGGAGAGGUUAGUCUAGUUGCCAAGUUUAGGUUGUAUUCUUACUUGCAGGUAGGAAUAAGAGAAGAAGGAUCUGUAUGGGACUCAGACUGUACGGGACUGUUCUUUAAUCUGCGUCUUCUCAGACUCCUCCCACACACAUCUUCCCACUUGAAAGGAUCAAUAUACUCAAGUGCUACCAAGACAUUUGCCUUCAUGACAAUUUAUGCAGGAAACCAGUAAGUUGAUGCUUGUUCAUGAACAUCUCAAAAGAACUUUCAGGUUCAGUGCCAGUAUCUACUGAGGUGUGUCUACAUCCUCUAAUGGUGAAGUGAGGUGGGAAAGUUGGGCCCCAGUACCAGCACUUAAAAUAAAUCUGAAACAGUUAAAACAGAAUUAAGAGUUAAGUAAAUCUUCUAUCAGAUAUUUUCAGUAUCUUUUCAGUGUAUCUGCUACAGAUUUUGUCUAGAAUUCUGGAAGUUCAUUUAAAGUAAAUUUAUUUUUAAUUCAAGACUCCAAAUUUUUGCUUCAGUAGCUGCAAUUCCAAGAACAAAUACAGAAAGAAUCAUGCAUCAUCACAGCUUACUUAUGAACAUGAAAGAAAAUAUUUUAAAAUUAAAUUUCCAAAUGUUUGCACUACUUAUAUACAACAGAACUUCACUAGAUGGCAAUUAAUCUUAAAUUAAUCUUGCUUCUAAUUUUAUAUCCUUAGACAAAAGCUACUUAAACACUAACUUUCAGAAGGAGGUAGACAUUUAAGUAAUGUAGGGGCUUUCAGUAAUUAGAGACUUCCAAAUGAGAGUACUUAGAUGGUCAAUUAUUGUAUUGGUAGGUCAAGGUUUAAAUUAUGCAACUAAGACAACACUCAAGCAUGAUUGAGGAGCUGCAGACAAAAAUUAUAGGAGAUUUUAAGAAAGACAGCUUCAAAUGUAAAGCUGAAAACAGCAGAACACAUAUCCUCAGGCAAAAUCCUGCACCAGCAUUGAAGAAAGGCCAUGAAUCACUCUCUCAUCACUGAUGCUGGAAAAUAUCCUUGUCAGCUGUGUUCUCAGAAUGAUCUGGUUUAUUUAUUUAUUUAUUUAUAGGCAUUUCUCCACAUCACUGCAAUAGAGUUGAAAGUCUGCUGCCAUUAACCCUAUAUACAUUGCAGAAGAUUUUGACCUCUUGAUUUUAAAUAAGUUGACUGAGAUUCCUGAUUGUGUAAGAGUUUACAGUGACUUCCACAAUAUACUGUGUUAAACAUUCCUCUUCCUUCAUCUGACCUCCACAGCUCCAUCCUGGUUUUGACAUCACUGCCACUGCCUUCACUGCAUGGGUGUCAAUACAUAAAUGACAGUGUUACUCCCCAUGAGGGAAUGGGCCCCUGACCCACACAGUAAUGUAGAUAUCACUAGAACUCUUAUAACAAAAUUAAUGAGCUAUAAGCAUUUAUUCUGUUAUUUCAAUGGUUUUCUUAGGUAAUUGCUUAUACAGAGCGGUCAAAAAACCCAAAAAAUAUUAAAAGAUUUUGAUGAAUUCCGAAAUACCCGCACCAAAAUCACUUUACAAGAUUCAAGCUAUCAAGUAUUACUCAAUACUUGCAUCCACAUGGUUACUCUUUCACUUAGUAAACUGAACUUGUAAAACACUCUAACUAGUGUUCAGAUACUUUUUUCAUUCUCCUUGCCAAUAUACUCUUCUUCAUGAGACAAAGUGUCACUAAAGUACAGGGGUAGUUUAAUUAAUGCUGUUUUAAAAGAGAAGGAAAUCAAAGCAAGAGAACAUGAGCGCAGAAAGGGCUGGCUCAAGGUCAGGCAAUAAAAGUAAGAAUCAGUUUUACUAGUUUACAUGCAUUUUGUCAUAGGCCAAGAUGGAAAGAGGGAGAUUCUGAAUAAAGGUAUUUAAUGAUAGAAAAAUUUGAAGUCUGCACUGCAGCCAUUUAAUUCAAAUGCCUCAUUCCUUUCACUAUCACUCAUCAAGCUAUCAUCUUCCCAACAAUACAAAAUAUUUUUUAUAGUGGAGAAAAAUUCUCCAUUUUAGGAGAAGAUGACUGGUGAGAGCCUCUCAAAAAUUUUUCUUUGCUAAAAUAGUCUAAAGAGUACUUUUCCCCCCACAAUGUUUAACAAAACUACCCAUUCUUUUCUUUAAACUUGACAUAUUUUUACGUCUAAAGACCAUACACUUUGCUUUAGACUUGGGAGCAAUUUCCUAAAUAUCAGAUUCCUUGGUUUUAGCAAUUUUAGAAUGAAAGAAUGUUUGUUCUCUCAUGCUGAGUCCAUUACCUUAAAUUUUAAGCUCUUGUCAAUCUAAACAUGACUAGAAACUUUGGUUUGAAGACAAAAGCAAUAGAUUACAUUUAAUGCAAAGCACUGGCCAUUGGUUUCUUCAAGGAGCAAAUUGUAGCUGGAACAAUGGGGGAGUUUGGGGCUGUAGAUUCUUGCAUUACAACAUCUGUAAUGAAGCCCAUGUACUAAAUUGUAUCCUAUCUCUGCUUCUGUGAAACUCUACUCCUGUGGCCAGCACACUGGCAUUCAGAGAAGGAUACUUCCACCCUCGGAGCCCUAAUGACCAAUCCCUCUCUUCAUUCUCCAAGUCUCAUUUUACAAGUGUGCAUGUAUGUCCAACAAAGUACCAAAUCUAGAUUGACAGCUAAAAGCAUUGUAUUUAGCAUAUAUGGCAUGUAAUUAGAAAUCUGAGUGUUUCCAAAGGGAAAAAGUUUUUGAUUCUGAUCUUAGAGUAUUCUUUCACUGCAUUAGCUGGUAUUUUUUUUCCUAAUUGAAGUUGAUUUAAGUGCGAGCAAAGUCAGACCCAAGAGCAACAGGACAAACUUCUCAUCUGAGGUAGUUUGUAAUAUAAUUUUGUCUUUGCAAACUGUUGAUGGCUCAUCCUCAUCCCAUUUUAACCUACAACCAUCAGCUCCCUUAAUGGAAGUGUCUAUAAAGAUCUUCUCUAAAAUAUGCUUUUCCAGCACACUUAAUGUCUUUUAAUGUCUUUCCAAUUAAAUCCAGAUGUGAAAAGCUUAAGGAACAGUUCUCAGGACUGAAAAAGAUGACAUAAAUCUUGCAGCUGACAGAGAUCCCACUGAGCUCAGUUGGGGAAAUUCACAGAGGACUUCUUGUGGGCCAGAAAAGCUGCUGGGUAUAAAGACAGAUGUGUAUACUCCUAUUAAAAAAAUUUAAAUAAAAACUGACUCCUACAAUGAGGUAUCCACAAUUAUCAGGGACAUUACUAACUCAAUCCCUCAAUGUGCUGAGCACAUCCUGUGCGGUACAAAUUUCCCUCAUCUUUUCGGGAAGUUUAUCAGAGUUGCAGGGGGUCACAUCUGUUUGGGAAAGAGCCCCUCACCUUUCAGGAUUGCACCUCUUAAACCACUCUAGGGGCUGAUACUGGAAAACACUGUCUGUCUUGCUCUCUUACUGCUAUCAACAGGGAGGUAACAUACUCUGCAAAACAAUCCUGAAUUUCGGUCCACUCUCCUUUAUCUCUUCCAUAAUCAAGUUACCAUAGUAAAUUGUGGUUUUAUUACAGAAGACUCCCCAAAUGUGAUAUUAAUUAAAAAUUCUGACCAGUAUGAUGGGAAACUGGGCAUUCUUAGUAGCUGACUACCACUGCUGUGCAAGUGUUGUUUGUGCAGCUGUCAAUUUGGGGUUUGUUUUGCUGUAAUCACUUGCACACCCUCAGGAUUUUUUUAUUUUAUUUUAUUUUAACAACAGUACAUCAUCUUAUUUUCCAAACACAAACUGUAAAUGUAAGCUCACAUCAAGCCACAUCUUUCAGAGGAACAGGAAAUACUAACACACACAGUUUGUAUUAAAGAAUGUCUCUAGAAAACUGCCCAAUGCUAACAGCUUGCAUAAUUUCCUACCUUUCUGCUACUUAGUUACUUUUGAAAUUAGAAAAUUAUCCAGACAGAUCAAUGAUUUUUAAAGAGAUACAUCCUCGUGAAACAUCUGAAAAGAGAAAGAAUGUUCCAGGAUAGAAAAAAAAAAAACAUUUAUAACUGAAGUUUAAAUUUGGGUCCAUGUUCAUUAGUGAUGAGAACUUCAGUUAUGACAUUUUGGAUAGCAUUACUUAACUUCUUUGCAUUUUUCUAAUGUCCAUAUAAAGGUUUUAGCAUGAUUUGGUGUCAUGAGUGUGUGUACAGAAAUAUGAAACUACCUGAAUUAAAGGACAAUCUUGCAUCCUCAAGUACAAAAAGUGAUCCAAUAUUGGGAUCUGAACAGUAGUGCAAACCUAACGCUGAAACCAGCAGGCUCCUAAACACACACACACACAUGCAAACUCUCUUGAAGAGAAAAUUACAGCCUGCUUUACUUUUCACAAUGGCCAGCACUUUUCAGACUAUCACUCCUUCAGGGUUGAAGGCUGGAUCUCACUCCCACCAAAAUCAUUGCUUCAUGACCAUCACCCAGCAGUCACGAGGAAUGCCCUUCCCUUGGAAUGAGCUGCUGCUGCCAUGAGGAUCCCACUCUUGGCUAGCUCAGGGAAUGAGCUCAAAUCUUUUGCACUUUGCUGCCAGGGACCACCAGGCCAGCUCUGAUUUAUAGCUUUUUCUUUACAGUUUUAUGAUACAAGAAUGUUCACUUGUAAUUACAACAGCAUUUUGUUGGCUCCCUGCCUUCACUUGGGUAUGUGCAACACCAUAUCCUUCAUUCUAGCCUUUUUUUAUGUCAGGACCCCAAAUUUGAGAAGAAGUACAUCAGUAUUACAAGGAUGCUGCAGAUCUUGCUGCUCCUUAAAAAGGAGACUUGUACAUAUUUUUUCAGGGAGACAUGUAAGCAGUUGGAUCUGACAUUCAACUAGGAGUCUAGUGGAGAGCUGGUCAAAAUUCUUCCUCAGAAAAAUACUAACCUAAGAAAAAACUUUGUAUGGGAAUGUAUGAUUUCUGAGAAAAAGUUUUUUAGGUCCAAGAUAGAUUCUUCAGUCAAAACAUCACAGACAAGUGCAAAAUAUAACCACUGCACUAAUGACUGUUUGGUUGCCACAUUCAUGUACUUGUUGAUUUGUCUCUAUGAGAAAAGUUCAACAGGUCUCUAGUUUAUUUAAAAGUGAACGGAAAUACUUGUACUCUUGAUGUGUUUUGUGGGAUAAAAAAAUCUGUUUCCUUCAAAACAAGGUGACCCUGCCAUUAAGCUGCUGCAUCACCUUGAAAAAACACUUUAGCUCAAUAUUUUUCAGACAUACUCUUAGCUUCUGACUUUGAGAUAAUCAAGCUGUACAUUUCCAUCACUUGUGGUUUAAACUUGAUUUUGUCAUUUUCAGUCGAGGCAUAACCUCCUUCAGAGAAAAUUCCAGGUAUUUUAGAUACCAUUUAAUAGUUAACUGUCAAGCAAUUUCUAAGUCUUUUAAACAAAGAAUACUUCUGUGCUAGCUUAAUUUAUAGAGCCAUAUAUGUCCCAUUUUAAGUGGAUGUGAUUAAGAAGAAACACUAAGCUUAGCUUAUUCUACUAAAUGAGAAAAGUUUAAAGCCAAUAAAAUGUAUCUAGGAUUUUAGCUGGGAGAUGAAAUAAAAGGCACAUUUGUUCCUGGUCACUGAAUUUUUAACCUGGGUCUGUUGCUCCUGCUGUUAAGCUCCUAUACAUUCCUUACUAGCCUGUAGUGUCCAGCAUUCCCAGCUCUCAGUGCUUGGAAUUAGAGGUGAACUGCAAAAUAAAACCAGUUUGUUUUUUUUUUUUUUUUGAGAGCUAGUGUAUGGAAAGCAUCAAAUAUUCUGACAGAAGGAGGCAAGUGAAAAGGCUAAUUUUUUAAAAGAGGUCUUCUACAGAUUCUUAAAAAUUUAGAUUACAUGUAUAAAAAUUCCAACCUACCAUUUAGGUCUGAGAAUUCUGGCAGUAUCUGAAAAAUGGGAAGAUGCUGCUGAAUCUGGUGGAUAAAUGAAAGCUGUACACUCUAGCUCCUUAGUAAAGAAAAGGAGAAGCUGAGUCUUAUGCUGUGACCCAGGUCUCUAUCUCACGUAUGAGAAUACUUUCCAAGUGCCCCAAAGUUUGCCUUUAAUAUACAACAAACAGGAAAGAAAAAACCCUGGGUUUCUAGCACGAAAAACAAAACCUAUACUGUUUCUGUCCCUCCUGUACCUUUUCAAGCUCAUAUUCUUUUUUUUUUUUUAAGUUGAUUAUUUUGACUUGCCUUUUUGCAAUACAGGAGCUCUAAUAUGACUUCAUUGCUUCUCCUUUUAAGUCAAAACCCUGUGAGGGUAUUUGGGUAUUUCCUUAAGGUGAAAUAAACUAAUCUGCCUUCAGUGGCUCAUCACUCUGGUGAUCAAGUUAAAUGACACCAUUGCAGAAAAGCCUCACAAUACAUAUUUUCCCCCUGCCUACUCCAUUGCUGCUUUUUUACACACAAAUUCAAGCAUUUCUUAGCAAAUGUGUAUUGAGGUGAAGGAUUAGUCCUCACUUAAAAUCAGUAGCAGCCACCUUCCUGUGCAUUUUUUGAAGUGGUAGAUGUACUUUUUUAUUGGAUUAUUUUCUAUUUUCUAUUGCUUACAGGUCUCCUUCUUAAAGGAAAGGCCAAAUCUAUCCUCAGAUUCAGCUUCUGUUGCUGUUUGUGAGUUGAUUUAAGUAGGAACUGGCCUUGCUCACUUGGAUUUGCUUUAGUCAUUAUGUCCUACUUUAGUCUGCUCCUGUACAGGUAGAAAGAUAAAAAGAGUAGUAAGUGGCACCUUCAGUCAUCUCCAUGAUUGCUGUCCUUACCUUUCUGGUAAGAAUGGUACAUGUUGAGUACUGUGUACUUCAAAAAAUGCUUCAAGAGAGACAGCAGGAACCAGAUUUCCUCAAGAACUUCUUAAAUUCAGGAACCUCUCCAGCUGGUAGGUCACUAAUGAAGGUUAGACACUCCUUGUCUCUGAUUAACUGAGCUCUGCAUCUACGGACCUGCUUUUACUCCAUUUACAGUUGCAGUCAAAAAUAUAGAUAUAUGUCCAAAAACUUUACUGAACAGCUGGGGUUUAGUCUGGAAGAUCUGCUAACGGCUAUUUUAUCAUAUCAUUCUAGCAUCUAUUAUUAAAAUUCAUUAACCACAGCUGUCAAAAAGAGCUAACUCAAAAUCUUGCUAGUUACAAAAUAACCUGUCAGGAUUAGAUUCAAUAAAAAAUUCAGGUGCUUACAAAUUAGGCGCUGCAUGAGUGAAGUUUUAAACAGCACAUCCCUGGAAUAAAAUCAAAGGUCUAAAGUUAAGUACUCCGUUUUUUUACUCAGCGUAAAGAUCAGAGACAGGUUUCUCUGAAGAAUGAGCUGAGAAAGCUACAUGGUGAGUCUGGAGCUACCUGCAGGCAAUGAGGUGCUCCAAGCCUAGGGGUGAACUCCUGGUCCUCUCUGGAGUUCAUCAGCAAAGCCAGGACCACAGGCAGAAGCCUGGCACCUUGGUCAGCUGGUGGCUGCAAAUGUACAGUCCUCUCCUGAAGACAGCUGGCCCUUCUGCCCUCUGAGAGGCCUGAGCAGAGCUUGCUGCUGUCAUUGAGAGGGUGACCAGCAGAGAAGAGGGUGCAGGUGAGCCCUCCUUUUUGUCCUUUUGUCAAUGGCACAGAUGUGAGCACUAUUGUCCAGAGUAUGAGACAUACAGAUUUCAGAUUUCCUAGCUUUAGGUCAACAACUAUGUAUUCUACCUCCUAGGUGACAAUCUCACCUCCAGGAUCAGUGAUAGGGAAGAUUCAGCUGUUGCAAAAAAAAAGUCAACAUGGAGUCAUACAUGGACCAAAGAAAGGGAGGAGUCUGACUCCAGAGGCUGAUCACAGCAGUUGCUAAGCUGUCCUGAGGAUCACUCCAUGCUCCCUAGAUAAUUUCUGUUCUUUAUCUAAUUGGUACUUUAGCAGUAAGUUCAGAAGUGAUAAAAGCAGGAAUUGCAAUCCAAUACUUCUGCUUUUGGGGGCUUCUUUAAAAGGUAGGACGCAAUAAUAUUCCUUCUCAUCCUUUCUCUGUGCAAUCCUGAGUAUUUUAAGGUUUUGUUAUGUGAAGGCUCUGGCUAUCUGGGAAGGUAGAUAAAUAACUGCACACGCAUUUAGACAAUCUCCUAUGACAUGUAAUUAUUAAUACCUGAAGGCUGUGGGAAGAGUUCAUGUUUCCUGAGUAAGUCUAUGUUACUGUGUAAAGCAUGGAAACCACUAGCAACUAUCCAACCACAGCUAAGAAGAAAAUCCCUCAGGAUGCUGUUUCAUUUAAUAUUGUUCUCUAUAAGGCAUUUUAAUGAAUAUACAGCUCUAUUUUAAUAAAAGAUUCUAUUAAGAUAAAUAAUAAUAAUCCUUCACUAUUCAAGCUCCCUUCAUGCAAAUGAUCCAAUAAGCCUGCACAUGUAUGCAAACCCUUUGAGAGGGUUUCCAGGAUCAGGAUACAAGCAAUUUUACUGUGCCACUACAGAGUACAGUUAAGUUAGUUAAAAAUCAACACACUCAGAAUAAAAGCAAAAGUACUAAUGUAAGUUAAAUGAUAGUAGAAAAUAAACUUUAUGUCCAGUCUCAGUUAGUUCUAAGAAUUUAAUAAUUUCAGCUGUCACAUAAACAAUAAAGUCAGAGCAUGAAGGAAGCACUAGAGUUCUAAGGCUGCCACCAGAAGCAGAGAAAAAGCACUCAUAAUGUUAUGCAUUUAGACAGUAAUAUUCCUCAAGCACAAAUAAGACCUAACUGAAGCCAUGCUUGAGAUAACUGUCAUGCUAUCAAGUUACAGUAAAGAGGAGAUCAGGCUUAUUCUUUCCUUCACAAUGAAAUCAGUAUAAACAAAUCAUAUAAUGUUUGGACACCAAACUCCUGAAACAAAGAAACCUAGAAAAUCUCUUAAAACCACCCACAGACUCCCCAUGCUGGUCUGUGAUUAUACAACUGGAGAAGAUCAUCCAAACUGUGAUGUAAACCAAUGUCAGUCUGCAAAGGAUAGUACUACAGUGGUUCUAACAAAAAAUAAAGCAAGUCCCUGGAAGAGCCAUCAGAAAGGAAUAUUUUCAUAUUUACCAUCCAUUUUUCCUGUAAAUGAAGAAAACUUUUUUAAAGCUUAGAGAAAGAAUUUAACUUAAUCCCUACACUAAGGAUACAAGACCCAGACCCUCUUGUGUGUUUUUAUUCUACUGCAAAACACAUUUAGCUAAACACAAGUGAGCCUGGGACCAACCAUAAAGGAAAAUACUUCUUAAUGGACUCCACUGCUUUUUGUAUUUCAACCUGCUCCUCUAUGAAAAUCUUUUUGUCCUCCUUAUUUGUUAUUUGGAUACAUUCACCUUCAUUUAUACAAAUACACGUGCAAAACAGCAUCUUUUUUCCCUGCGGACUACUCACCAAGAGAGACGAUCCAGUGCUGAAAACCUUUUCAUUCUAUAAGAAAAAUACAGUGUUUCUGUAGAUUGCAUUUCUACCUCAGAACUGUAGUUUUGGGCCUUGCUUAUCAUCUGGAAGCAAACUGUUCUAGACCUGAAAACAACAUGUGCCUGCCUAGAAGAGAUGUGAAAGGGUCCAGCUCUCUUUCUGCAGACAUGGCCUAGAAAGUGUAAAUCUCUGUGCACCCUUAGGUGAGGCUUCACAAGAUCCAGGACACUCAGUGCUAAGGAGGCUAAAGCAGUGGACUAACCCAGAUGCCCUGAAGGUGGGGUCUAUGACAUAUCCAUUUUAUGCCCUGUUUCUACUCAAUGUAGAUUCCACAAGGCUAAAAAUGUUUUACUGAAAUAAGGAGAUAAUGAAACAGUGCAAGCCCAUUUUCAAAUAUUUUGGCUUUCUUUCUAGCUAUGCCAUAGAGGAAUUAAUAUUCAAAUGUAUUUAGUAAAGAAACUCACUUCAUUAGAAUCAGCCACCCCUGCAAAUUGGUUGAUAGUUUAUAUUUCCCUAACAUUAAUUUCAUUCUUGUUUCUAAGCCACAGUUGACUGAACUGUAACUUGGUAUCAACAAUGGGCAUUAAUCAUACAAAAGAAAACAAAAGAAGCAGUAAUGAACUGACAACGUUUGUUAGUCUUCUCCAGUGAGGGUGCAACAAUUAGCAAUACAGUGAAUAUCAAUCAUUCAAAUGCUGAAAAAAAAAGUCUGCAUAAAGAGAAGAAAUGAAAAAUGGUAGCUGACAAAACCUCAACAAUCUUGGAGAAAAAAAUACCUAAAUUAUUAUACUUAACAGUCUGUGAAAGAACACUUCAUUAAUAAGAUGGCAAAAUAUUUUGUACUAGAAUUAAUAAAUUCUCAUUCUUAAGAAAGUAUGUUCUGCAGAAUUUACACAAAGUUUGUUUUUUCGUAUAGUCAUACAUGCUUCUUAUAUAUUGCUAACGUUCAAUCUUUUUCAAUCUUAUUUACAAUAUCAUGCCUGACUAAAAGCUGUUCUACUGGCAGCAGUGUUACCAGCAGCUGCACAUUGAAUUAUCAACACACUUGUACAUUAAAAGUGUCUGAUAAAACAUAAGAAACAAGAUUCUAUCUAUUCUUCAUGAUCACUAGCUGUCUUGUGUUUUAAUACUGCAUUGAUUCCAUCAAAGUUCAUCACAUGAAGAACUAAAGUCAAAUAAUUUCCUCCAAUAUUUUUACAUGAUUUUCCAUAUGCAAUUUUAACUUACAAUGUUUAUAACUAAAUAUAAAUUAUUAUGAAUUCUAAAGACAAAAUACAAAAGUCAAAAAAUGUAUUUUUUGAGUUACGUGUUCAACCAAAUAUAACUCUCACCCUUCACUGGAGAAGGUACAGGAAGAAGUCUUCAAUAAAUUUCAGAAUCAUUUGCUGAUAUUUUCUAUAUCAGAGUUACAAGUUUACAACAUACACUGAAUAUUUUAAUAAACAACGUGCUUACUUGGCUAAUAAUUUCUAAAAAGAGCAAACCCCUCCUUAUAACAGCUGCAGUGGCCCAGAUGUCACAAAAGCAGAAUGUCUUUGCUAUGCAGGGGAGGGGCAGGCCUUCCCUUUGCACAGGCACGUGGAGGUCCCAGCCAGCACAUGCACAUCCAUGCCUGAUGGGGUAAACAUGGAAUGAAUUUAUUUGCUUCUGUACAUAUGGCAAAGGAACUUCAGACCUGGAAAACAGCAGUUGCAGCCCCAUACAUCAGUUUCCCUGCUCUGCUACAGUGCAACUGCCCAGUUUUUCUGAUUUGGCAAGGGAAUCAAGAUUUAGCCAUGAAAAAUUGACUCAGUAGAGAAUAUGUGCAUGUGCUAAAUAACAACUUACUGAGUAGUCAGAGCUGCUUGAUUCUGAUGAACAGCAAUGUUUGGCAAGCAAAGUUGCUACCCAUGCUGUUUGCUUUAUGCAAAGGUAACAUUUUCCAUUGUGGUCUCUUCAGAACUCUUAAUACACCAUUAGACUAAAAGAGCAGGCAACAAAAGCUCUGAUUUCUCCUGGAAAACAGCAAAGCUUCUUCCUUGUAAAGCAUUGUGGAAGGUCCUACUUGGUACUGCUAGAAACUCUAGCCCUCUGCUUCUGCUGGGAAGCAGUAGCACAGAGCUUCAAGUCUCCUCCUAAGUUUAUUAGUCUCUCUGUCCUUAAUUCCUGCUUUUUACCAGUUCUCUCAGCAGCAAAAUAUCAGUCCUUGGACCCAUUGCUGUGCUGCUUCAACCCAGGUUGCUUUGGCUGACAGGGUGCAUCCUAUCCCUAGGCAUUCAAAGAGCUAAACAUAGUGUCUAAGGGGAAUGGAAGAAGCAGGUUUCUGCCUCUAACAUCCUACAAUUGGAAAAGGGUAAGCAGAGUGUGAGGAGAAGCUUGAGAUCAGACAGAAUCUGCGAUCCUCAUCAUGCAAAUGAAGGACUUAGUCAUGCAGUUUUCUGUUUGGAGAAUGCUACCAGUAAGAAGUAACUUGACAGCUGCGCUCUCAUAAUAGCCAGUUUGGAUUCCUCUCUACUCUUCAGUCAUUGUUUUAUUACUUUGCAUUUAGACACAGAAAAUUCCAUGCACCUGCACUAUGCAGCAUUAAACCCCAUAUCUACUAAAUCUGCCAACAAAGAAGCCAGCUCAGCCGAUGGAAUUAUUUGAUGUGGUCACUCACUACAAAGUGGGUUGAAAGCACAAACCUCUCUCAAGCCCACUCCUGUGGAAACAACUGCAGCUUUUUACUGAUGUGGGCAGGACCCAAGCGAAUAAGGACAAUUUGCAGCACACUUGAAAAAUAAGUUAUUUUUGAAACAAAGAAACAAAGUUUCUUUGUUCAGCUUUAACACGUUUCUUGACUUGUAUUACCCACUUCUCCCUUUCCCAUUCCCAAGGAAGUUUCCAUUAAUCAUCCCUCUAAUGGAAACACUUGUGUCUGAUCACUGAGCAGUGGACACAGGCAUAGUCUGUGGGCAUGCACUGAACAAGAAGCCCAAGGGAAGCCUAGCUGAAAAGUUUGGGAAAGCAAGGAUGCCUUUUUAAAAUAAACUUUGGAGAGGUCAGCGGGACAGCAAGGGGUCAGCACCAGGCAGCCAUUGGGUGGAUGGCACAGGAGAAAGACAACAACACUUGUCAUUAAUUAUAUCUGUUGGAAUGCUACACAUUUUCCCCCCCAAGUGGUAGUACUCCAGACAUCCAAGCACAAUCUCUCCCACGUCCCACUUGACCCCAGGCAGGGCACAUGCCAAGAAGAUUUCAUACACUAGAAGCCAAGAAGUAGCUAAUACAAGUGCAGCUUUAAUAAUUUAAAUUGUCCCUCCACUUCAAAACAUUUUUUUCCUUUAGUUCCAGGCCAUCCUCACGACUGUCUCCUUUACCAGUGAAACACAUAUUCUCUUAGAUCUAAAUAUGGCUAGAUUUCUGUGCCCAGCCUCAAGCUAACAAAACUCUAAACUUUCAUUGGAGAAGAAUAACUACAGGGAAGUGGACUCUGCUCAGAAGAACUCUACUCCUAAAAUCGAUCCUGCAAUGUAAAUGUAAAUGGUAAAUGUACCAUUUACUCAGGUCUAGAGGUAUCUGAUCUACAGAGGUGCUGUCUCCUAUAAACACUUCUUGCAAAAUGUCUGCAAAUGCCAGAAUGAGUCACUACUGCCAGUGCUCUUGCAAAACUUUGAACCAUACCUAUUUAUAAAGCUAAAGUUUCAUAAGCAGCAGUAUCUUUUAUUUUAAUAAAAAACUUAAUAAACUGUUGGUUGCAUAAGAAAUGGCAGUCUGGUAAUUAAUGGAUGGACCCAUCCUCACUUAACCCUGAAUUCACCAAGCACAUAGUCAAAGUUCAUUGUUGUGUGCAGAAAGAGACAGAAAGAGACUAGGUAUCUCUAGAGUAUGAUUAUCCUCUCCUAAAUAAAGAGAUGGGAAGAAUGAGCCUUUGGAAAUGCUUCUCUCUGUACUUCCACUACAGAAAAACUUGUAAAAUUAACCCAACCUGGAAGCAUUGUAGGCAUCUGAAAGGUAUGCAAGAUGCUUUAGUGACUAUAGUUUAUGAGGAAGCUUUGAAUAUUAUGACUCCAGCACAGUAGUUAUAAAUCAUAGUAGUUGUAAAUCACAGCAGUUAUAAAAUAUAGAAUUAAAUUACCUGUCCAUGUGGUGAAAAAAAUUCUGCUUAUUUCUGCAGAGUGGCCUGAGAUGUCUUAAAAUCAGCCUGUGGGGUUCUUUGGUGCAUGUGAAACAAAGAACCAGAAUUGGGGCAGAACUGGGAGAGCUGGAAGACCUUGUACACUGCAGAACCCUGUUUUGUGAUAAUGGAGAGACAACAACUCGAGCAAGAUCAAUCUGGAUAUGCUAAGCCUUGCUAGUGGAUUCUGAUUAUUAAGGGGGGAAGAAAAGUAAUGCCUACACUGGGGCAAGCUUCACUACAGACUAUACUAUUCUGCGGCUUUAAGGACAAAUUCCCCUACAAUUCAAGCUAAGUCCCUACCUUAAAUCCUUAUUUUGGGAUUGCAGUAGAAAAUAAUUUCUAUUUUUGUAGAAAGCAAGGAGACUUUCAGAAAGAGAGAACUCUUCCAUCAGAUAAAAAACCAGACCAUUGUCUGUGUUUUCACUUGAAUGAUGUAUCCAACAGGAAGUAUUUAAACUGUGCUACUGUCUGUCAGUUCAAGCUUCAGGAUAGGCUUUGAACCCACAGCUUUGGAGCCCAAGUUAAGUCACCAAACUUUUUUGAAAGCCCUCCUGUAACUUUUUCUCUGUAGUUUUCAAGCUUUCAUCGAGUCAUAAAACAUGGGAAAAAAUAGGCUCACUCUACCAACAGGAAAAUAUCAUGUAAGGAAAUAUAUGCUGUGGUAAGUAUCCACAGGAAGGUAUUAAUCAUUUUUUUUUACUAAAAGAAGGAAAAAACACCCAAUGCUGAAAAAAGUAGUAGCAAUGUAAAAGUAACUUGUUAGAUGGAUAAAGAACUCCGGAGUGAAUGACAAUGUUUGUCUUUGGAAGUCUGUUCUUCAAUUCCACAAGAAUUGCGGGAUUUAGCAUUGAACAAGAGAGGUAAAAAUAGAGCCUAAGUUACAUAUAAGAAUUUUAAAAGCAACUUAUCCUGAUUUCCCCCCAGAAAACAGUAAAUGAGCUAAAUAAUUAGCCUGGUUGUGCUGAUUUAAACCAUUUGCAAAACUGCACUCCUGAAUUGUGUUUGCAUUAAGCAGAGCUGGAUGCCAGGCUUCCUCUCUAGUUUGAGAAAUUCACCACAGCUAGAAACUGCAGGAGAUAGAGAGACAGACCCAAAACACCAUGUAAGCACAGUGAAUUCACUACUCAAAACCCCAAACAAAAGUGGAAAAGACACCAAAUCAUCAAUUCCAAAAAGAAGCACUCACAGGUAGCAGAACUAGUUCCUCAGAUUUCACCUGAGACCUCACUAUGAAAGAAAGUUGGCACCACAGCCCAGUAUGCUUCCUUCAGUUUAGCUCCAUGUUCUCUCUCACAAUGUGCACUGAUUUUCCUGGCCUGUGCAACUUUAUCUGGUGAUGAAAGUUACAGGUUUGUGAGGUUUCUAUGCUCUUCUGUAAUUAUAUGGAACAUAGGUUCAUUAAUUCAUAAAAGAGAGAAUUUGGGUUGGUCUAGUCCGUCCUCUUAUGGUACUGCCAUCCUUGAGUGUUGACCAAAGCAAUCCUAUCCUGUUAGGGACAUUUAGAAGCUUUCAUGGGUAAGCAUUUUUCUCUUCAGAACAGAAAAAUGUUCUGUUUGUCAUCUGAAUUUGCAUACCUUCAGAUUUUUGCUAGUGUUUCUAAUUACGUCCUUCUAAGGUAGAUUAAAGAGUCCCUUAUGAAAAACAAAAUUUUUUUCUAAGUAUUUUUCCUUAAAGAAUCAAGCCAGCUCAGUUUUUUUUUCCUUUAGACAUUACACCAAAUGAGCUUCCAAGUCUCUCACCAGAAGGCAUUUUCCCCACUUCCUCAACCAAAUACUUUUUUGUGGCUGUUUUCUAAACUUACUUCAGUGUUUCCAUAUCCCUUCGAAAAUGCUGACAUCAGGACUAGAUGAAUUCCUCCAGCAUCAGCUUGGCCAAUGCCAUAUACAAGGGUAUAUCUUGUAACUCAUAAUUACUAUUACUUGUUACAUUCAUGUUCAAGCGUUCAGUGGGAUUUCUUACUCAGUUCCCCAUCCUAUAUGACCCCUGAUCAAUUAAUUAGAAGCCAAAAUUAUCUGUGCUGACAGUACGGCUUUGAUCCCUUGUUCCUUGAUGAAUAAGUGUGCAGUUAGCUGAGUCAGAAUGCACUUUGUGGAGUCAGCAAGGCUUACUGCAUUGUAUUCUACAACUUAUCACCAUUUAACACUCUGCUGGCCCUCAUGCUAUCAGCAAACAUUACCAAGAGAUGAUUUCAUGCUUACUUCCAGACCACUGAUGAACAUACUGCCUAUAAUGUUGAAAUGUUUAUUUCUGUAAAGUGUGGAGAAAGAGCAAUACAGUCUUGUGUAUUAGAAGAGAUUUCUCCAGGCAACUCAGGAAAUGCUGUGUGUAUAAGAAAAUGCCAGGUCACGUUUUUUGUCCUAGUCUCCAGUUUUUGAGUAAUUUAAUGAUAGCAUUGAAAUGAAGACAUUUAUAUAUGGACACUGCAGGCCAAGCUAUUCAAUUUCUGUGUAGAUUAGGUACAUGGACCCUUCAUUUUGAUCCUAGUAUGAUGCCUUAAGUUUUAGCUUUCAUAUUUUUUUGGAUUCUGUGCUGCCUAGGUGUGUAGCUCUGAGCUUCACAUUAAAUGUCAGUAAGUUCUCUUCACAA
Long non-coding RNA from Motacilla alba alba, 19465 nucleotides. RefSeq lists it as uncharacterized. NCBI's taxonomy places the organism in Eukaryota, Metazoa, Chordata, Aves, Passeriformes, Motacillidae. The record is from RefSeq and is a predicted model, not a curated record. The transcript is spliced from 3 exons.